RNAcentral lists this ribosomal RNA (137 nucleotides) under uncultured eukaryote. RNAcentral's name for it is "partial 18S ribosomal RNA". It matches the Rfam family "Eukaryotic small subunit ribosomal RNA", at positions 1299 to 1458 of the family's 1831-position model. The record is from RNAcentral.
UGGUGGGGUGACUUGUCUGCUUAAUUACGAUAACGAACGAGACCUUAACCUGCUAAAUAGCCCGCAUUGCUCCGGCAGUGCGCUGGCUUCUUAGAGGGACUUUCGGCUCAAGCCGAAGGAAGUUUGAGGCAAUAACA